UCUUAUAAAAAGGGAUAAAGAAAAAUGUAAAGAAUAUCUUAUAUUUAGGGACGGAGGUACAUAGUACUCCCUCCGUCCUAAAUUAUAAGGGAAAAUAAAAAAAUCACACUUAUUAAGAAAAAAUAAAACAUGAUAAUUUGAAGUAUCUUUUUGUGGGUUUUCCUUGGAAUAAGUUUCCUAGGAAGAUGUAAAAACAAUUUUUAUUGGUUGUUCUUUAUUGAGAAAAUGAGAGAGAGAAGAAAUUAAAUGCAAUUUUCAUUUAAUUUUAUGAAAAUAAGGAAAAAACAUUCUUGAAAAUAAUUUUUUCUCUUAUAAUUUGGGACAAAAAAAUGGGCUUUUUUCUCUUAUAAUUUGGGACGGAGGGAGUACAACUUAAUUAAAUCCUAGUUUUUAAUUGAUUUUGUGUAUAUUGAUUGAUUCCUGGAUUUUUUUAAUUGAUUUUGUGGAUAUUGUCUUCAAUGUUCACAAGAAAAAGAAGUAGUAAGGGUUAUAUAUACGUUUACAUGGUGGAUAUCUUCAACUUUCAUAGUAGCAUUCCAACAAUAUAAUCUUUUGUACAAAACUCAAUUGAUUGUCGAUUUUUCUUCAUUGUAAUGAUGUUGAAGCUUAGGUUUUGUGUUUUUUUGUUUUGAGGUCUUAUGUAAAUGAGUGUUAGUCUAUAUAUAUAGGGUUUAGUGUGUCAC
RNAcentral lists this long non-coding RNA (683 nucleotides) under Trifolium pratense (red clover). RNAcentral's name for it is "long non-coding RNA (TPRA_LNC012122)". The record is from RNAcentral. Lineage: Eukaryota; Viridiplantae; Streptophyta; Magnoliopsida; Fabales; Fabaceae.